GCACGUUAACUACUUCAGGUUAGCUUAGCGGACCUGCUCACAAGUCAUCUGCGUUCACUCCUCAGGGAUAGCAGGUCUAAGUCAAACUAGCGUAUCGUUGAACUGCAAAUGCUGCAAUACUGCUGCUGCUAACACAUCUACUCGGGUUAAUAACUGACGAUGUCCCAGGCCGACCUCUAUAGAAACUGCAUUUUCCGGCAGCAAGAGCCAGCAGAACUCACCGGGCGUAGUGACACCAAAAGGAAACUGGAAUCUUCUCUAUUUGCGACAGAGGAAGGAGCAAACUUGACAUUCAAAAUGGCGGCCGGGCCAGCCUGAGAACACCCCUGUAGGCGGAGGGAUACUUCAAGACGGUGAAUGGAUUCCAUUCGGGCUCAGUUUCUUCUAGGGCAGAAUGAAGGCGUACGACUUGGACACCAUUGGGGCUCAGUUUCUGUGAAGCCCGUAGGAAGGUAUGCAACAUGGACUUCCCUCUGGCUCUGUUUCUUCCCGGCACGUAAGAAGGUGUGCGACGUGAACGCCAUUCGGGCUCCAAUUACUUGGAAAGUAUUCGCGAAAGGGACUCCAUUCGGGCUCCCGUUUCCCUUUUUAUAUGUACUUUAGUCAACCUGCCUGUCUAAUAAGCACUUCAAAUUUACAGCAUAAUGUCAUAAUGUUGGUAUAAUUGUAAUGAGUACACACACACACCAUAAAAUCAUAAGACAGA
Long non-coding RNA from Brienomyrus brachyistius, 706 nucleotides. RefSeq lists it as uncharacterized. Lineage: Eukaryota; Metazoa; Chordata; Actinopteri; Osteoglossiformes; Mormyridae. The record is from RefSeq and is a predicted model, not a curated record. The transcript has 3 exons.